UUUUUAUUUUUUUAGUUUCUUUCUCACAAGUUUCAUUGCUUUUAUAAUCAUAAAUAAAUCAAGAACAGUUUAUGUGUAAAACUUCAAAUCUUUACCUUCCAUUUCUUGAAAUUAGUUUUGGGAAAAAGAAAAGGACGAUGAGGUGAAGGGAGGCGAGGAGAAGUUACAACACAGAGAAAAGGAAAUAAUGUUGGUUUGCUAAU
This 203-nucleotide long non-coding RNA is filed under the name Bos taurus (domestic cattle). RNAcentral describes it as "long non-coding RNA NONBTAT022279". The record is from RNAcentral. Lineage: Eukaryota; Metazoa; Chordata; Mammalia; Artiodactyla; Bovidae.